Molecule: ribosomal RNA, 480 nt
Filed under: uncultured bacterium
Lineage: Bacteria
Description: partial 16S ribosomal RNA
Rfam family: Bacterial small subunit ribosomal RNA
Source: RNAcentral
GACGAACGCUGGCGGCGUGCUUAACACAUGCAAGUCGAACGAUGAAGAAAAGAAUCGAAGCUUCGGCAGAAAUUCAUUUCGGAUUAGUGGCAGACGGGUGAGUAACGCGUGAGCAACCUACCUCUUACAAAGGGAUAGCCUCGGGAAACCGGGAUUAAUACCAUAUAACAUUGCGACGAAGCAUUUCGAUGCAAUCAAAGCUACGGCGGUAAGAGAUGGGCUCGCGUCCCAUUAACCGGAUGGUGAGGUAACGGCUCACCAUAGUGACGAUGGGUAACCGGAGUGAGAGGGUGAACGGUCACAAUGGAAAUGAGACACGGACCAGACUCCUACGGGAGGCAGCAGUGGGGAAUAUUGCAAAAAGGAGGGAACUCUGAUGGAGCGACGCCGCGUGAGUGAUGAAGGAAUUCGUUUCGUAAAACUAUGUUCUAUGGGAAGAAAAGGACUGUACCAUAGGAGAAAGCUCCGGCUAAAUAAGUG